GUACAGUACUGCAGCCAAGGAUGACUUGCCGGCCGGCUAAGCUAUCUCUUCCAUAUAUUCUGUUAUUAUGUUCAUUUUAUUGCCAAAGAUUUGAACAAGACUGUAAUACAUAAAUGAAACAAAAACCUUUGGAGGAGAUGACAUCGAUCCGGCAAGUUGUCCUCGGCUACAAUUCUGUCUCA
Gossypium hirsutum (cotton) is the source of this 182-nucleotide non-coding RNA. The record is from Rfam. Lineage: Eukaryota; Viridiplantae; Streptophyta; Magnoliopsida; Malvales; Malvaceae.